AUGUGGACCUGUCUUCGUCAGCGCUAUGAGCCCUCUGGUGAUGCCUUAUACCUUUCUGUGGUUCGUCAGGAGCAUGCUCUUCAGCAGGGUGACUCUACUGUUGAUGACUUUUAUGCACAGAGUUCUGCUAUCUGGCGCCAGCUUGAUUCUCUCCGCAGUGCUGGUUGUCGUACUUGCCCCUGCUGCCAGGCUGUCCAGGCCAACUUGGAGUUUCAUCGCGUCUACGAGUUCCUGUCUCGGCUCCGUAAGGAGUUUGAGCCCUGGCGUGCUCAAUUGUUUGCUCGUGGCCGUAUUUCUCUCAUGGAGGCGCUUUCAGAGAUUCGUGCCGAGGAGACUCGCUUACGUGGUGCUGGUUUGCUGGAGGUUCCCUCUGUGCUCGCUACUCGGGUUUCUUCCACUCCACCUGCUGCACCGCCCCAUUCUCGCUCGAGUGCUCCGCCGCUCUUGCCCACUCCUUCUGGAGGCUCAGGUCACCCCCGUUCACAUUGUGACUACUGCAACAAUGAUGGUCAUAUUGAGUCCCAGUGCUACACAAAGCGGAAACACCUGCGCAAGGCGCGAUCAUCCUCCUCAGGGACUUCGUCA
Molecule: ribosomal RNA, 585 nt
Filed under: Triticum aestivum (bread wheat)
Lineage: Eukaryota; Viridiplantae; Streptophyta; Magnoliopsida; Poales; Poaceae
Description: partial small subunit ribosomal RNA
Source: RNAcentral